ACGGAAGGCAGCAGUGGGGAAUAUUGGGCAAUGGGGGAAACCCUGACCCAGCAACGCCGCGUGAAGGAAGAAGGCCUUCGGGUUGUAAACUUCUUUUACCAGGGACGAUAAUGACGGUACCUGGAGAAAAAGCAACGGCUAACUACGUGCCAGCAGCCGCGGUAACACGUAGGUUGCAAGCGUUGUCCGGAUUUACUGGGUGUAAAGGGCGUGUAGGCGGAGCUGCAAGUCAGAUGUGAAAUCCCGGGGCUCAACCCCGGAACUGCAUUUGAAACUGUAGCCCUUGAGUAUCGGAGAGGCAAGCGGAAUUCCUAGUGUAGCGGUGAAAUGCGUAGAUAUUAGGAGGAACACCAGUGGCGAAGGCGGCUUGCUGGACGACAACUGACGCUGAGGCGCGAAAGCGUGGGGAGCAAACAGGAUUAGAUACCCUGGUA
This 434-nucleotide ribosomal RNA is filed under the name uncultured Oscillospiraceae bacterium. RNAcentral's name for it is "partial 16S ribosomal RNA". It matches the Rfam family "Bacterial small subunit ribosomal RNA", at positions 341 to 792 of the family's 1533-position model. Lineage: Bacteria; Bacillati; Bacillota; Clostridia; Eubacteriales; Oscillospiraceae. The record is from RNAcentral.